RNAcentral lists this ribosomal RNA (406 nucleotides) under uncultured bacterium. Its description in RNAcentral is "partial 16S ribosomal RNA". It matches the Rfam family "Bacterial small subunit ribosomal RNA", at positions 30 to 526 of the family's 1533-position model. The record is from RNAcentral.
AUUGAACGCUGGCGGCAGGCCUAACACAUGCAAGUCGAACGAGUGGCGGACGGGUGAGUAAUGUCUGGGAAACUGCCCGAUGGAGGGGGAUAACUACUGGAAACGGUAGCUAAUACCGCAUACCAUCGGAUGUGCCCAGAUGGGAUUAGCUUGUAGGUGAGGUAACGGCUCACCUAGGCGAAUGACCCUUGCUGGUCUGAGAGGAUGACCAGCCACACUUGGACUGAUACACGGUCCAGACGCCUACGGGAGCGAGCAGUGGGGAAUAUUGCACAAUGGGCGCAAGCCUGAUGCAGCCAUGCAGCGUGUAUGACGAAGGCCUUCGGGUUGUAAAGUACUUUCAGCGGGGAGGCGGUACCCACAGAAGAAGCACCGGCUAACUCCGUGCCAGCAGCCGCGGUAAUAC